UACGUAGGGGGCAAGCGUUGUCCGGAAUCAUUGGGCGUAAAGCGCGUGUAGGCGGCUCAGUUAGUCCGUUGUGAAAGUCCAGGGCUCAACCCUGGAAUGCCGAUGGAUACUGCUGAGCUCGAGUCCGGAAGAGGCGAGUGGAGUUCCUGGUGUAGCGGUGAAAUGCGCAGAUAUCAGGAGGAACACCAAUGGCGAAGGCAGCUCGCUGGGACGGUACUGACGCUGAGACGCGAAAGCGUGGGGAGCAAACAGG
RNAcentral lists this ribosomal RNA (253 nucleotides) under uncultured bacterium. Its description in RNAcentral is "partial 16S ribosomal RNA". It matches the Rfam family "Bacterial small subunit ribosomal RNA", at positions 524 to 776 of the family's 1533-position model. The record is from RNAcentral.